Molecule: ribosomal RNA, 1171 nt
Filed under: Klebsiella oxytoca
Lineage: Bacteria; Pseudomonadati; Pseudomonadota; Gammaproteobacteria; Enterobacterales; Enterobacteriaceae
Description: partial 23S ribosomal RNA
Rfam family: Bacterial large subunit ribosomal RNA
Source: RNAcentral
UGGAGCUGAAAUCAGUCGAAGAUACCAGCUGGCUGCAACUGUUUAUUAAAAACACAGCACUGUGCAAACACGAAAGUGGACGUAUACGGUGUGACGCCUGCCCGGUGCCGGAAGGUUAAUUGAUGGGGUUAUCCUCGCGGAGAAGCUCUUGAUCGAAGCCCCGGUAAACGGCGGCCGUAACUAUAACGGUCCUAAGGUAGCGAAAUUCCUUGUCGGGUAAGUUCCGACCUGCACGAAUGGCGUAAUGAUGGCCAGGCUGUCUCCACCCGAGACUCAGUGAAAUUGAACUCGCUGUGAAGAUGCAGUGUACCCGCGGCAAGACGGAAAGACCCCGUGAACCUUUACUAUAGCUUGACACUGAACACUGGUCCUUGAUGUGUAGGAUAGGUGGGAGGCUUUGAAGUGUGGACGCCAGUCUGCAUGGAGCCAUCCUUGAAAUACCACCCUUUAAUGGCUGGUGUUCUAACGUGGGCCCGUGAUCCGGGUUGCGGACAGUGUCUGGUGGGUAGUUUGACUGGGGCGGUCUCCUCCUAAAGAGUAACGGAGGAGCACGAAGGUCAGCUAAUCCUGGUCGGACAUCAGGAGGUUAGUGCAAUGGCAUAAGCUGGCUUGACUGCGAGCGUGACGGCGCGAGCAGGUGCGAAAGCAGGUCAUAGUGAUCCGGUGGUUCUGAAUGGAAGGGCCAUCGCUCAACGGAUAAAAGGUACUCCGGGGAUAACAGGCUGAUACCGCCCAAGAGUUCAUAUCGACGGCGGUGUUUGGCACCUCGAUGUCGGCUCAUCACAUCCUGGGGCUGAAGUAGGUCCCAAGGGUAUGGCUGUUCGCCAUUUAAAGUGGUACGCGAGCUGGGUUUAGAACGUCGUGAGACAGUUCGGUCCCUAUCUGCCGUGGGCGCUGGAGAAUUGAGGGGGGCUGCUCCUAGUACGAGAGGACCGGAGUGGACGCAUCACUGGUGUUCGGGUUGUCAUGCCAAUGGCAUUGCCCGGUAGCUAAAUGCGGAAGAGAUAAGUGCUGAAAGCAUCUAAGCACGAAACUUGCCCCGAGAUGAGUUCUCCCUGACUCCUUGAGAGUCCUGAAGGAACGUUGAAGACGACGACGUUGAUAGGCCGGGUGUGUAAGCGCAGCGAUGCGUUGAGCUAACCGGUACUAAUGAACCGUGAGGCUUAACCUU